RNAcentral lists this long non-coding RNA (1741 nucleotides) under Brassica napus (rape). Its description in RNAcentral is "long non-coding RNA (BNAP_LNC014298)". Lineage: Eukaryota; Viridiplantae; Streptophyta; Magnoliopsida; Brassicales; Brassicaceae. The record is from RNAcentral.
UUUUUGGAAUCUUGAGGGUGAUUCUCACUUUUCUUUCAAUGUGUGUAAUAUCCAUUGAUCUUUUCGAUCCGUCUUGGUGCGUCAUAUCCAAGGGAUCAAACCGAUUCAUCCUGGUGCGUCAUAUCCAGGGAAUCAUCCUCAUUGUCGUCUAGGUGCGUCAUAUCCUAGGACAUUGAGUUGGAAUAUCCCUUACCAAUUUCAGAGUGUAUUCCUUGGGAGGUUUUUAUCAUUUGGUAUCAGAGCAACACUCUGAGUUUGGUAUUCACUUCUGUUAUCACCAUUCUCUUCUUUCCAUCUUCUACAAAAAAAAAAGAAAAAAAAAGAGUUUUAUUAUUUAUGUUCUACAGAUCUGCUGGAUCUUUGGAAAGUUUGUGUACAAGUUUUCUUUCUUCGGAAAGCAAAAUUUGAGGACAAAUCUUUUUGAAGAGGAUGAGUAUGAUGUGAUCUUGGGCAGAUUUAUGAAGUUUUGGACAUGAAAAAUAAUCAGAAAUCAACCCAUGAUGUUAGGUAACAUGUCCAGCCCAUUUUUAUGAAGAUACAAGCCCAAGAAGAAUCAAAAUCAAGUGGUUUCUUUGUUGUCCAAGGAAAGUGACGAAAAUCACAAACUAAAUUGCAUGGAAAGCUUUUCUCUCCUGCAUGCAAGGAUUGCUUGUUCCAAGAACAUUCUCUCUCCUCCAUGCACUAUUUUGUGAUUUCCUAUGUAUUAACUAUCUAGUUUUCUCAACAAGUUUAGUUUCCUAUAAAUAAGUUGUAAUCUCUAUUGAAAUAAGAUAAGUUUUGAGUGAUUAUUUUUGGAACCUUGAGAGUGAUUCUCACUUUUCUUUCAAUGGUGUGUAAUAUCCAUUGAUCUUUUCGAUCCGUCUUGGUCCGUCAUAUCCAAGGGAUCAAACCGAUUCGUCCUGGUGCGUCAUAUCCAGGGAAUCAUCCUCAUUGUCGUCUAGGUGCGUCAUAUCCCAGGGCAUUGAGUUGGAAUAUCGGAGGCCUUCUGCAUCCUUCGUGCGGCCAUUCACUCCACAUCCCUUGUCUUUGAAGCUUUACGGUUUCAUAGCAGCACGGUUUAUCCCCUUUACCAACUUAGAGUGCCGACUCCUCGGGAAGUUUUCAUCAAUUAUCAUCUUCUCCAUCAAACACAACAACCUCUAGUUCUGGUUCAUCAAGGGAAAAAUCUUCAAACUCAAGUCUUCAUAUAUUAAGCUCAUCUAAAGAAUCAAAUUGGUCACCUCCAACAUCCCACAUCUUGUUAGGACCUUCUUUACAAGCCGAACUCCUUCUAGAUAAGAGACGAAGAUUUUAUGCAUAAAUACUAAAUCUAGAAUAAAUUUAUAACUUACUUGGGAUUUAGAGAAUGUGUCAUACAAUGGAGAGGAGUGUUACUCUUACUCCAACGAUAUGUUAAAAUAGACUGCACAUCAUUCCAACAAAAUUGAGUCAUCUUCAAGUUCUUUCCUUUCCUUUCUAGAGAUAGCCUUUUUCAUAGUCUCUUCAUGCUUUCCCACCAUUCAUAAACCAGAUGAAGUGAAGGCUUAGCAGUAUCAGCAGCUCUAAUCACAUUAUAUAUCGGCAAAGUGAAAGACAAAGCAUAUUCAAUCUCAUCCCAGAACAUCUCAUCUAAUAUUUUUUUCUUCACUGCUGAUGCUCUUUCUACAUCAUCAUCUUUAUAAUCAUCCCACUUAGGACUGGUCACAAUUUGUUGUAACCCGGUUUUUAUUUUCUUGAAUCUCUUAAGCAUCACAACUGCUGA